This 228-nucleotide long non-coding RNA is filed under the name Solanum tuberosum (potato). Its description in RNAcentral is "long non-coding RNA (STUB_LNC004092)". The record is from RNAcentral. Lineage: Eukaryota; Viridiplantae; Streptophyta; Magnoliopsida; Solanales; Solanaceae.
UUACAUUAGGGUAUAUGCAUGUCUUUUGUCAAAAAGUAGCCGAAGAAGAUGAUGCACAAAAGACUAAUAGGGGCUUUGAAAUAUUUAUCUUCCACAACUAAAAUUCAAAUUUUUAUAGUGUGAAUGAUUUCCAGUAUCUUUUAGUUUGUCAUGCAGUUUUGUCAAUAUCCCCCAAAACAUUCAAAAAUGUUUAACAAGUAUGCUUAUAUUUUCAAAAAUAUUAGGAGA